Molecule: ribosomal RNA, 458 nt
Filed under: uncultured bacterium
Lineage: Bacteria
Description: partial 16S ribosomal RNA
Rfam family: Bacterial small subunit ribosomal RNA
Source: RNAcentral
AACGAACGCUGGCGGCAUGCCUAACACAUGCAAGUCGAACGAGACCUUCGGGUCUAGUGGCGCACGGGUGCGUAACGCGUGGGAACCUGCCCUUAGGUUCGGAAUAACUCCCCGAAAGGGGUGCUAAUACCGGAUAAUGUCUUCGGACCAAAGAUUUAUCGCCUUUGGAUGGGCCCGCGUUGGAUUAGCUAGUUGGUAGGGUAAAAGCCUACCAAGGCGACGAUCCAUAGCUGGUCUGAGAGGAUGAUCAGCCACACUGGGACUGAGACACGGACCAGACGCUGACGGGAGGCAGCAGUGGGGAAUAUUGGACAAGGGGCGAAAGCGUGAUAUAGCCAUACCGCGUGGGUGAAGAAGGCCCUCGGGCUGGAAAGCCCUUUUGUUGGGAAAGAAAAGCAGCAGGUUAAUACCCCGCUGUUAUGACGGUACCCAAAGAAUAAGCACCGGCUAACUUCGUG